GUCAUGUUGUAAAAGAAGACAUAUAUUAUUUAUGCUAGAGAAGAAUUCUUGUAGGAAAUAAAGUGAAGAAUGAUAUAUUUUGAUCUGCAUUCAGACUCUGUCAACUCCUUCUAUAGCAGUGCUAAGUCUUUUUUUUUUCCCAUAAGUCUCUUAGAGUUGUCUUGGAUCCUGGCACUGUUAAUACUUCAGUCAUUCAUAGUUGAUCAUCAUACACUGUUGCUGUUCACUGUGUAUAACGUUCUCCUGAUUCUGCAACAUUCAUUUGGCAUCAUUUCAUAAAAGGUGAUCCAGCCUUUUGAAGAUGAGGAUUAGAGAGAAAAAGGGACUGAUAUUAAGCCACUGAUCAAUGCUGAGGAGUACAGGAUUAAAAAUGCCAACAACCCCUGUAGGGCUGGUGAAUAUCAAUGCCAAAGCACAGGACCUGUCUCAGAGGACUGAGGAAGCAGCUGUUCAGAAAGCCUUAAGGACCACUGCCUGGGAAGACUUUGUAAUAGUUUCUCAUGCUGCCUUGAAAGAUAUCUACAAUUUUCUUUCUGCUUUUAUAAAAAAUGGAAGUCAAACUAGAAGAAUAUACAGUGUGUGAUAAAUUGAUAUAUUUUUCAUUACUUGAGAACGUGGGCUAUUUUCUCUCCUUUAUAUUUAGCUGUUUUGGCUUUGAACCUUUGCACUUCAAUCAAAGUGUAAUUUUGAAGAAAGACUGUGUCUUAAGUUUUAUUGAAGACUCAGCUAUGUUUUCUUUCUCAGUGACUACGCCAAAAGUAAAUAUCCUGGCAAUAGAAAACUAGCUGCUUGCAUUUGUCUUAAGUGCCUGAUGACCAUAGGCUUAAUUUCCCAACAAUUCCAUAGAAAUGAUGUGCAAAUUUUUCUGGAAGGUGUGAAAAUGAGAAAACUCAAUAAUUGUUG
Molecule: long non-coding RNA, 903 nt
Filed under: Monodelphis domestica (gray short-tailed opossum)
Lineage: Eukaryota; Metazoa; Chordata; Mammalia; Didelphimorphia; Didelphidae
Description: lncRNA (ENSMODG00000049726.1)
Source: RNAcentral